AGCUUUGCAGAGUGGCAACAUUGUACUCAGUGAGGUUUAUCUGAGGCACAAACAAUUAUAGCUAAUUAAAAACUUUUCUCAAUACCCUGCCAUGAGGCCUUGAAAUACAUAUUUCUCUAUGGAGA
This is a small nuclear RNA of Mesocricetus auratus (golden hamster), 125 nucleotides long. Its record names the gene U4. It matches the Rfam family "U4 spliceosomal RNA". Rfam says of the family: U4 small nuclear RNA (U4 snRNA) is a component of the major U2-dependent spliceosome. The structure of U4 snRNA from yeast and human has been reported. U4 snRNA presents a k-turn RNA motif in the 5p-SL related to recognition of Snu13 protein. The record is from Ensembl. Lineage: Eukaryota; Metazoa; Chordata; Mammalia; Rodentia; Cricetidae.